AGUGUUGGAUAAAUGGGAUCAUGCAGCAUGCAAGAUUUUGAAACUGCCGGCCAGACGCGAUGGCUCACGCCUGUAAUCCCAGCACUUUGGGAGGCUGAGACAGGCGGAUCACGAGGACUAAAGGACCACACAAGAAUUCCUUACAGUAGAAGCCAGGCCUGGGAGCAUUACACAAAGCACCCCCUAAGACCAGAUGAAACAGUGAUGGCUGCUGCCCUUGCACUCAAUGAGAUGGACCAAUAUGUCAUUUGUAGGGCCACAAUUGUGAGGCCAUUCAUUAGGAGAAGCUCACCAGUUUGAUGCCUGAGAGGACCUCCAACAGAGAGAUCAGGUUAUGGCCAUCCCGCAGAUCUUCAUAAAGAUCAUUGAUGUGCUUGCGGACCUGUGAAUGAGAGUGAAACAGACAGAUUUUUAUUUGAUAUUGAAUUAUUAUACUAUCCACAUAAAAAUCUCUGGUUCUAGGUAAACACAAAUUAAAGAAUUUAAAAGUGGAAGCAACAAUUAAAUAAUAAAAUUCAGGAAGUUUCAGAUUGGAAUAAAAUACAUGUGAAAUGAUAA
Homo sapiens (human) is the source of this 558-nucleotide long non-coding RNA. The record is from Ensembl. Lineage: Eukaryota; Metazoa; Chordata; Mammalia; Primates; Hominidae.